GACGAACGCUGGCGGCGUGCCUAAUACAUGCAAGUUGAGCGCUGAAGGCUGGUACUUGUACCAACUGGAUGAGCAGCGAACGGGUGAGUAACGCGUGGGGAAUCUGCCUUUGAGCGGGGGACAACAUUUGGAAACGAAUGCUAAUACCGCAUAAAAACUUUAAACACAAGUUUUAAGUUUGAAAGAUGCAAUUGCAUCACUCAAAGAUGAUCCCGCGUUGUAUUAGCUAGUUGGUGAGGUAAAGGCUCACCAAGGCGAUGAUACAUAGCCGACCUGAGAGGGUGAUCGGCCGCAUUGGGACUGAGACACGGCCCAAACUCCUACGGGAGGCAGCAGUAGGGAAUCUUCAGCAAUGGACGAAAGUCUGACCGAGCAACGCCGCGUGAGUGAAGAAGGUUUUCGGAUCGUAAAACUCUGUUGGUAGAGAAGAACGUUGGUGAGAGUGGAAAGCUCAUCAAGUGACGGUAACUACCCAGAAAGGGACGGCUAACUACGUG
RNAcentral lists this ribosomal RNA (497 nucleotides) under uncultured bacterium. RNAcentral describes it as "partial 16S ribosomal RNA". It matches the Rfam family "Bacterial small subunit ribosomal RNA", at positions 28 to 507 of the family's 1533-position model. The record is from RNAcentral.